RNAcentral lists this ribosomal RNA (447 nucleotides) under Lacticaseibacillus paracasei. Its description in RNAcentral is "bacterial SSU rRNA". It matches the Rfam family "Bacterial small subunit ribosomal RNA", at positions 62 to 473 of the family's 1533-position model. Lineage: Bacteria; Bacillati; Bacillota; Bacilli; Lactobacillales; Lactobacillaceae. The record is from RNAcentral.
UCGAACGAGUUCUCGUUGAUGAUCGGUGCUUGCACCGAGAUUCAACAUGGAACGAGUGGCGGACGGGUGAGUAACACGUGGGUAACCUGCCCUUAAGUGGGGGAUAACAUUUGGAAACAGAUGCUAAUACCGCAUAGAUCCAAGAACCGCAUGGUUCUUGGCUGAAAGAUGGCGUAAGCUAUCGCUUUUGGAUGGACCCGCGGCGUAUUAGCUAGUUGGUGAGGUAAUGGCUCACCAAGGCGAUGAUACGUAGCCGAACUGAGAGGUUGAUCGGCCACAUUGGGACUGAGACACGGCCCAAACUCCUACGGGAGGCAGCAGUAGGGAAUCUUCCACAAUGGACGCAAGUCUGAUGGAGCAACGCCGCGUGAGUGAAGAAGGCUUUCGGGUCGUAAAACUCUGUUGUUGGAGAAGAAUGGUCGGCAGAGUAACUGUUGUCGGCGUGAC